AGAGUUUGAUCCUGGCUCAGGACGAACGCUGGCGGCGUGCUUAACACAUGCAAGUCGAGCGGAAAGGCCCUUCGGGGUACUCGAGCGGCGAACGGGUGAGUAACACGUGAGCAAUCUGCCCUUAGCUUCGGGAUAGCCCCGGGAAACCGGGAUUAAUACCGAAUACGACCUCGGCCGACAUCGGCCUUGGUGGAAAGUUUUUCGGCUAGGGAUGAACUCGCGGCCUAUCAGCUUGUUGGUGGGGUAAUGGCCUACCAAGGCGACGACGGGUAGCCGGCCUGAGAGGGCGACCGGCCACACUGGGACUGAGACACGGCCCAGACUCCUACGGGAGGCAGCGAGUGGGGAAUAUUGCGCAAUGGGCGAAAGCCUGACGCAGCGACGCCGCGUGGGGGAUGAAGGCCUUCGGGUUGUAAA
Molecule: ribosomal RNA, 417 nt
Filed under: uncultured bacterium
Lineage: Bacteria
Description: bacterial SSU rRNA
Rfam family: Bacterial small subunit ribosomal RNA
Source: RNAcentral